UGAGGAAUAUUGGUCAAUGGACGGAAGUCUGAACCAGCCAAGUCGCGUGAAGGAUGAAGGUUCUAUGGAUUGUAAACUUCUUUUGUCCGAGGGUAAAGUGUGUCACGUGUGGCAUAUUGCAAGUAUCGGACGAAUAAGCAUCGGCUAACUCCGUGCCAGCAGCCGCGGUAAUACGGAGGAUGCGAGCGUUAUCCGGAUUUAUUGGGUUUAAAGGGUGCGUAGGCGGGUGAUUAAGUCAGUGGUGAAAUCGUGUGGCUCAACCAUACAAAUGCCGUUGAUACUGGUUACCUUGAGUACAGUUGAGGCAGGCGGAAUGUGAUGUGUAGCGGUGAAAUGCUUAGAUAUGUCACAGAACCCCGAUUGCGAAGGCAGCUUGCCAAGCUGUAACUGACGCUGAGGCACGAAAGCGUGGGUAUCAAACAGG
RNAcentral lists this ribosomal RNA (424 nucleotides) under uncultured bacterium. Its description in RNAcentral is "bacterial SSU rRNA". It matches the Rfam family "Bacterial small subunit ribosomal RNA", at positions 355 to 776 of the family's 1533-position model. The record is from RNAcentral.